Molecule: long non-coding RNA, 5393 nt
Filed under: Setaria italica (foxtail millet)
Lineage: Eukaryota; Viridiplantae; Streptophyta; Magnoliopsida; Poales; Poaceae
Description: long non-coding RNA (SITA_LNC004920)
Source: RNAcentral
AAACACAUUGCUUCUCACCUUUUUAUCUGCAUGCUCUCAGCCUCUCCUAUCCUCACAUCUCUUCCUCCUCUCUCUUCCCCUUAUCCCUUUCAUUCCUCCUGUGGCGCAGGUGGCUGGAGCCAUGGCUGGUGGAGGUGGGGUGCAGCGGCCCACAGCGACGGUGAGCGGUGGCCGGGGCGAGUGCGCGGGCCAUGACGACGACGAGCAGUUGCCAGUGCGCACAACGGCGAGUAGUGGACAGUGUUGCCGGCGCUGGUCGAGCAGAGCUUUUAUUAUCGGACUGUUCCACCCGAGCAAGCUUCUAGAUUGAAAGCUCCAUCAGUAUUGACUUUAAGAACUCCAGCUGCUGGUGCCUUCCAGCGAGCCUUGGCUACCUGGUGAUGUGAUUUCUCGUGAAUCUGCAGCACAUCAUCCACCAUCUGAGUAACAUGCCUUGCAGCAGCAUAUGGACUGUUGGUAAUCCUACUUUGCAGGGUAGUGUGAGGUCUGUUUUUCUUGUUUCAAUAACUUGAGCUCGUGUGUGAGCGCGUCUUAGGGAGCCUGAUGCAUGCGAGAGUUCAUGGAGCGGCUUAGUUUGUUCCUGUUUUUUAGAGUCCUAGAGCACGGCAUGGAACCUCGUCAUGGGAUGGUGUGACAAGUCCGGGUGACAUGGCGUGCGUGCGUUCGUGGAGUUAGCAGCUGCGGCCGGUAGUUUGUUUCCUCUAUUUAAGCAAUGAAAGUUUCAGAAAACGUCGCUUGGUUGUGGCACAAAGUGUUCUCUGUGUUCCAGGUGUUCGCGUUCAUUUGUGUGUGUUUCAGGGGUCUUCUUCUUCAUCUCUGGCGAGCAAUUGCCAGCUGUGAAGGCUUCAAUUGGCAUUAGAGCCAGUUACUAGCACUGGGACCGCGAUCAAGCAAUCAAGUGGGCGUUCAUGGCGCAUCCACACUCGUCCUCGCCACCACGAACGACUCGCUGGCAGACGCCACCACCGUCAGGGACACGGUGGUGCGUCACAGAGCUGCAGUGGAACUGGCGGAGACACACCCGAAGGCAGCAGCGGCCGCGGCAAGAAAGGUCUGGUGGUCCACCGCGUCACCAAGGAGAUCAGCGGCAGUGGCUCCUUCCCGAUGCUCACGAAGACGAACUACUAGACUGGGCGGUGCUCAUUCGCAUGAUGCUGCAGGCAAGGAGCCUAUGGGUCGCGGUGAGCAUGGGCACCGACGACUACGUGGAGGACCACAUGGCACCGGAGGUGAUCUCCAAGACGGUCCCGACGGAGAUGAUGGGGACGAUUGCCAACAAGGUGACCGCUAAGAUCGUGUGGGACGCGAUUAGGAGGAUGCACAUUGGUGUGGAGCGCGUCCACAAGGCCAAGGCAAACAUACUGUGCCGCACCUUCGAUGCCCUCAAGAUCUGCGAUGGGGACACGGUGGAUGACUUCGGCAUCCACAUCAAUGGGAUUGCAAAUCAGCUCGCAGUCCUCAGCGAUGGCUGCACUGAAGAAGAGAUCGUCCGCAAGUUUCUCCGGUCUCUACCCAUGAGGUACUAUCAAAUCUCCAUGUCAAUUGAGACCCUGCUUGACCUCAGCGAACUCUCCGUGGAGGAGUUGAUCAAGAGACUCAAGGCGGCGGAGGAAUGGCACAACCUCAGUUGAAGCAGCGGCGUGGCUAGCCAGCUCAACCUCAAUGAGGAAGAGCUGGUCGCGCGCGUCACGUCACGGUUUCAGCUCGGCGGCAAUGGCUCAUCCUCAGGGUCGGGCCAGCGAAGGGGCCGGGGUGAGGACGCGGCGAGGGCUGCGGCGGAGGGCGGCCACCGAAGGUCGGCAGCAGUGAUGAUGGUGGCGUGAACAGGCCCAUCGGCGAUGACCAGUGCAAGUAUUGUGGCAAGAAGAGCCACUGGGCCCCUGAGUGUCACAAGAAGCGCAAUGAGGCGGCCCAUGUAGCCCAAGCUAAAGAAGGGGAGGAGCCCAUGUUGAUGCUUGCCACUACAAAAGUCAACGCUGCCUCCUCCUCCCAACCGCUGCCGCCCACAUCACCAUUGAUGCUGGUGGAAUCCGCCCCGAUCCACCUCGAGGAGAACAAGCUCUUCAUCCAGCUAGGCGAUGGGCGCAAGGGGGAGUCCACCCGAUGGAUCCUCAAAACAGGAGCCACCAACCACAUGACGGGCAUGCGGUCGGCCUUCUCCGAGCUGGACACCGGCAUCCGUGGCACCGUGAAGUUCGGCGAUCGCUCCGUUGUCGUCAUCGAGGGGUGCGGCACCAUCCUCUUCAAGUGCAAGGAUGGGGAGGACCAGGCACUCGAGGGGGUGUACCACAUCCCACGCCUUACCGCCAACAUCAUCAGCUUGGGGAAGCUCGACAAGGAGCGGUACAAGAUCCAGAUUGAAGACAGCGUGCUUAGGAUUUGGGACCAGCAACAGCGAUUGCUAAAAAAGGUGACCUGCACGGCGAACCGGCUCUACAUCCUCAAGCUCAACAUCGGGAGGCCGGUGUGCCUGGCGGCACAGGAAGGUGACGCGGCUUGGUGCUAGCACGUGAGGUUUGGCCACCUAAACUCCCGCACACUCCAGAAGCUGGCCCGUGAAGGCAUGGUGCGCGGGCUGCCGCAUAUCGACCACAUCGACCAAGUCUGCAAUAGCUGCUUGGCCAGGGAGCAGUGGUGUCUCGCAUUCCCCUCCGAGGUGAAGUACCACGAAGAGAACAAGCUCGAGCUGGUCCAUGGCGAUCUCUGCAAGCUAGUGAUGCCGGCGACACUGAGUGGCAGCAAGCUGUUCCUCCUCGUCGUCGAUGAUCUGAGCCGCUACAUGUGAUCCAAGGACCAAGCUAUAGACGCCAUCGUGCGGUUCCAGGCGAGCGCUGAAGCAGAGGCCGGAAGAAAGAUGCUCAUGCUGCGUUCUGACCACGGCGACAAGUUCACGGCGCACGGGUUCGCAGAGUACUAUGCCAGGCAAGGAGUCUAGAUGCACCUCACCGCUCCAUACACGCCCUAACAUUACGGGGUGGUCAAGAGGUGGAAUCAAACAGUGAUGGGGAUGGCCAGAAGCAUGUUGAAGGCAAAGGCACUGCUGGGCUGGUUUUUGGGGGAGGCGGUCACCAUGACUGUGUUCAUCCUGAAUAGUGCGCGCACGCAGAGCGUCGACGGCAAGACCCCGUAUGAGGUAUGGCACGGCUCCAAGUCCCCAGUCCAUUUCCUCCGCACCUUCGGUUGCGUCGCACAUGUCAAGAACGGCGGCAAGCACCUCCCCAACCUCGAUGAUCGGAGCACGCCCAUGGUCUUCGUUGGCUACGAACUAGGGACAAAGGGGUACCGUUUCUACAACCCGGAGUCAUGGCGCAUCCAUAUCUCCUGUGAUGCUAUGUUCGAGGAGGAUCGAAGCUGGGACUGGGGCACAAAGGAGGGAGCCGGGCCGGCUAACGGCAACGAGCCCUUCCACGUCAAGUACAUGAUGGUUUCCGCGGGCUCUGGCUCACCGGGGGAGCGUGGAGCCGAGGAAGUGACGCCGAGGUCUAUAUCACCAAUUUCUCUGGUGCCAUCAGCAGCUACAUCACCAUGAACACCUACGGUGGGGAGCUCUACGACGCCCACGGGCAGCUAGGGGCCACACACGCUUGCCACGGCGAUGCCACUUGACACACCAGGGGAGGCGGUAGAGUUUGCCUCACCACCGAGUGGGGCGCUAGACCUCGAUGCGGAGCACAACGACAACGCGCCCCUACGAUUCCGCACCCUCGACAACGUGCUCGACCCUUCAUCACCACCAGGCUUGGUAGUGUGCACUCUGAAUGACAAGCUGAUGCUCGCGGUUGGGGAUGAGCCCACGACGUUUAAGGAGGCACGCGGUGAGGAGAACUGGAGGAAGGCAAUGCUCGAGGAGAUGGCCUCGAUCGAGCAAAACGGCACAUGGUUCCUCGUCGACCUCCCACAAGGCCAUCGUCCAAUUGGUUUGAAAUGAGCAGGGCAUCAUCGUCAAGCACAAGGCCUGGCUGGUUGCAAAAGGAUAUGUUCAGCAGGCCGGGGUCGACUACGAUGAGGUAUUUGCGCUGGUCGUCAGGAUGGAGUCUGUGAGGAUGUUGCUCGCCAUGGCGGCGCGACGAGGCUAGCUUGUGCAUCACAUGGAUGUCAAGUCAGCGUUUCUCAAUGGUGAUCUGUAGGAAGAGGUGUACAUGCGGCAGCCACUUGGAUUUGUAGCUGCUGGACAUGAAGGGAAGGUGCUGAGGUUGAAGAAAACCAUUGUACGGGCUCAAGUAGGCCCCGCGCGCGUGGAAUCAGAAGCUGGACAGCAGCCUGCGCGAGCUUGGCUUCACCACGUGCGCCAGUGAGCACGGGCUGUACACUCGAGACGCGGCGGCGUCGCGGGUGGUCGUCGGCAUCUACGUGGACGAUCACAUCAUCGCAGGUGCCUGCGCGGAGGAGGUCAAGGCGUUCAAAGGUGAGAUGUUGCGUCUGUUCCGCAUGAGUGAUCUGGGGCUGCUCUCGUACUACCUCGGGAUCGAGGUGAAGCAGAGCAGGGGGCGCAUCAUGCUGGGCCAAGCGGCGUACGCAUGCAAACUGCUGGAGAAGGCUGGCCUGGAGGGCUGCAACCCCUGCCAGACCCCAAUGGAGGUGCGCCUGAAGCUCACGAAGGACAGUGCAGCGGCGGAGGUGGAUGCCACCAUGUACCCGAGCUUGAUUGGAAGCCUGUGGUAUCUGAUGCACACCCGGCUAGACAUCACAUUCGCCGUCGGCUUCGUCAGCAGAUUCAUGGAGAAUCCCAUGCAAGAUCAUCUAGCGGCUGUGCAACACCUCCUCCAAUACAUCUCCGGCACUAUCAGCUACGGGAUCAUCUACACCGAGCAAGAGAACGAGGAGCCCCUCCUGGUGGGUUUCAGUGACAGUGAUUUGGGGGGGAGACAUCAACAACACCACCAGCAUCAUCUUCUUCCUCGACGGCAUGCCAAUGUCAUGGCAAUCCCAGAAGCAGAAUGUGGUGGCGCUCUCAUCCUGCGAAGCUGAAUACAUUGCUGGCGCGACGGCGGCGUGUCAAGCGGUGUGGCUCGCACGGCUGAUGGAUGACAUGAUGGGAGCAAACUCAUCGCCGCCGAGCUUGAAGAUGGACAAUAUGUCCGCCAUUGCACUCAGUAAGAAUACCAUUCUCCACGAUAGAAGUAAACAUAUUGAUACAAAAUUCCAUUACAUUCGUGAAUGUGUGGAGAGCGGGAAGAUCAAGCUGGACUACGCAAGUACUCAUGAUCAGCUUGCGAAUGUCCUGACAAAGUCGCUCGGAUGCGUGAAGUUCCAGGAGCUGCGCGAACGGAUCGGCGUUGUCGAACUGAAGUGAACAGACUAGGAUUAGGGGGAGAAUGUUGGUAAUCCUACUUUGUUCAGGGUAGUGUGAGGUCUGUUUUUCUUGUUUCAAUAACUUGAGCUCGUGUGUGAGC